GCUUGUCACGCGUCUUUGAGAUUUUGGAAUUGAAUUAUUUCAACCGUCAUUAUGAACUCGAUCAAGAUCUUUUUGAUUAUCGCAAGUAUUGCCACUGGUUGUAUUUCUUUUGUCAUUGCCAACCCCGUCUCAGUCGAUGACCUGUCGAAAUUUAAGCCCGUACCUCAGACAGAAUAUAUACAAUUUUAAUUCAAUUAAAAUUGUCAGAAGUCUUUCCUAGGAAAGGGAUUUGCCGCCUUGGACUUCAAUUUUUUUUAUUUGAAAUUCUGAUAUCACAAAUAAAUUGUUUUCAACGUGUAAA
This is a long non-coding RNA of Fopius arisanus, 301 nucleotides long. RefSeq lists it as uncharacterized. The record is from RefSeq and is a predicted model, not a curated record. NCBI's taxonomy places the organism in Eukaryota, Metazoa, Arthropoda, Insecta, Hymenoptera, Braconidae. The transcript is spliced from 2 exons.